CCAAUAGCGUAUAUUAAAGUUGCUGCAGUUAAAAAGCUCGUAGUUGAAUUUCGGGACCAAUAUAUCGGUCAUGCCUCGGUACGUACUGGCAUCAUUGAUUUCUCCCUUCUGACGAACCAUGAUGUCAUUUAUUUGAUGUCGUGGGGAAUCAGGACUGUUACUUUGAAAAAAUUAGAGUGUUUAAAGCAGGCUCUCGCUUGAAUACAUUAGCAUGGAAUAAUGAAAUAGGACGUUUGAUUCUAUUUUGUUGGUUUCUAGGAUCGACGUAAUGAUUAAUAGGGAUAGUUGGGGGCAUUAGUAUUCAAUUGUCAGAGGUGAAAUUCUUGGAUUUAUUGAAGACUAACUACUGCGAAAGCAUUUGCCAAGGAUGUUUUCAUUAAUCAAGAACGAAAGUUAGGGGAUCGAAGACGAUCAGAUACCGUCGUAGUCUUAACCAUAAACUAUGCCGACUAGGGAUCGGAUGAUGUUAAUUUUUUAAUGACUCAUUCGGCGCCUUACG
Molecule: ribosomal RNA, 499 nt
Filed under: uncultured Glomeromycotina
Lineage: Eukaryota; Fungi; Glomeromycota
Description: partial small subunit ribosomal RNA
Rfam family: Eukaryotic small subunit ribosomal RNA
Source: RNAcentral